UAGGGAAUCUUGCACAAUGGGCGAAAGCCUGAUGCAGCAACGCCGCGUGAAGGAUGAAGGCCUUCGGGUUGUAAACUUCUGUUCUAAGGGAAGAAACAAAUGACGGUACCUUAGGAGCAAGCCCCGGCUAACUACGUGCCAGCAGCCGCGGUAAUACGUAGGGGGCAAGCGUUAUCCGGAAUUAUUGGGCGUAAAGAGUGCGUAGGUGGUUACCUAAGCGCAAGGUUUAAUUUAGAGGCUCAACCUCUACUUGCCUUGCGAACUGGGCUACUUGAGUGCAGGAGGGGAAAGCGGAAUUCCUAGUGUAGCGGUGAAAUGCGUAGAUAUUAGGAGGAACACCAGCGGCGAAGGCGGCUUUCUGGACUGUAACUGACACUGAGGCACGAAAGCGUGGGUAGCAAACAGGAUUAGAUACCCUGGUAGUCCACGCCGUAAACGAUGAGCACUAGGUGUUGGGCCCGUUAGGGCUCAGUGCCGAAGUUAACGCAAUAAGUGCUCCGCCUGGGGAGUACGCUCGCAAGAGUA
This 525-nucleotide ribosomal RNA is filed under the name uncultured bacterium. Its description in RNAcentral is "bacterial SSU rRNA". It matches the Rfam family "Bacterial small subunit ribosomal RNA", at positions 355 to 896 of the family's 1533-position model. The record is from RNAcentral.